Molecule: microRNA precursor, 286 nt
Filed under: Gossypium raimondii (Peruvian cotton)
Lineage: Eukaryota; Viridiplantae; Streptophyta; Magnoliopsida; Malvales; Malvaceae
Description: miR8663b stem-loop (gra-MIR8663b)
Source: miRBase by way of RNAcentral
AAUCACUUUUUGAGGCAUGAACUUGGCAAUUUUCCCCACAUUUGGGCCUGAAAUUUUUUUUGUCCAAGUGAGGCCCUAAACUAGGCAAUUGUUUUCAUAUGGGGGCUGGAACUUUUUCUUUGGUCCAAGUUAGUCCUUGAAAUGUGGGAACAAACUUGGACAAAUAAAAGGUUCAAGCCCCAAUGUGGGAACAGUUGUCAAAUUCAGGGCCUAACUUGAACCAAAAAAAAAAAUCCAGGCCCCAAUGUGGGAAAAGUUGCUAAGUUCAGGCCCCAAAUAGUGAUUU